Molecule: ribosomal RNA, 253 nt
Filed under: uncultured bacterium
Lineage: Bacteria
Description: partial 16S ribosomal RNA
Rfam family: Bacterial small subunit ribosomal RNA
Source: RNAcentral
GACGGAGGAUGCAAGCGUUAUCCGGAAUUACUGGGUUUAAAGGGUGCGUAGGCGGCUUAGUAAGUCAGGGGUGAAAGGUCACGGCUCAACCGUGGAAUUGGCUUUGAUACUGCUGAGCUUGAAUCAGGAUGAGGUUGGCAGAAUGUGGCAUGUAGCGGUGAAAUGCAUAGAUAUGCCAUAGAACACCGAUUGCGAAGGCAGCUGGCUAGACCUUGAUUGACGCUGAGGCACGAAAGCGUGGGGAGCGAACAGG